CUUGGUCAUUUAGAGGAAGUAAAAGUCGUAACAAGGUCUCCGUUGGUGAACCAGCGGAGGGAUCAUUACCGAGUUUACAACUCCCAAACCCCUGUGAACAUACCUAUACGUUGCCUCGGCGGAUCAGCCCGCGCCCCGUAAAACGGGACGGCCCGCCCGAGGACCCCUAAACUCUGUUUUUAGUGGAACUUCUGAGUAAAACAAACAAAUAAAUCAAAACUUUCAACAACGGAUCUCUUGGUUCUGGCAUCGAUGAAGAACGCAGCAAAAUGCGAUAAGUAAUGUGAAUUGCAGAAUUCAGUGAAUCAUCGAAUCUUUGAACGCACAUUGCGCCCGCCAGUAUUCUGGCGGGCAUGCCUGUUCGAGCGUCAUUUCAACCCUCAAGCUCAGCUUGGUGUUGGGACUCGCGGUAACCCGCGUUCCCCAAAUCGAUUGGCGGUCACGUCGAGCUUCCAUAGCGUAGUAAUCAUACACCUCGUUACUGGUAAUCGUCGCGGCCACGCCGUUAAACCCCAACUUCUGAAUGUUGACCUCGGAUCAGGUAGGAAUACCCGCUGAACUUAAGCAUAUCAAUAAGCGGAGGA
RNAcentral lists this ribosomal RNA (584 nucleotides) under uncultured fungus. RNAcentral describes it as "eukaryotic LSU rRNA". The stretch from base 218 to 371 matches the Rfam family "5.8S ribosomal RNA". The record is from RNAcentral. Lineage: Eukaryota; Fungi.